GACGAACGCUGGCGGCGUGCUUAACACAUGCAAGUCGAGCGGUAAGGCCCUUUCGGGGGUACACGAGCGGCGAACGGGUGAGUAACACGUGGGUGACCUGCCCUUAGCUCUGGGAUAAGCCUGGGAAACUGGGUCUAAUACCGGAUAUGACUCCAUGACGCAUGUUGUGGGGUGGAAAGCCUUGUGCGGCUAGGGAUGGGCCCGCGGCCUAUCAGCUUGUUGGUGAGUAUGCNCACCAGCUCGAUCUGUAGCUGGUCUGAGAGGACGGCCAGCCACAC
Molecule: ribosomal RNA, 278 nt
Filed under: uncultured bacterium
Lineage: Bacteria
Description: partial 16S ribosomal RNA
Rfam family: Bacterial small subunit ribosomal RNA
Source: RNAcentral